This 301-nucleotide ribosomal RNA is filed under the name uncultured bacterium. RNAcentral describes it as "partial 16S ribosomal RNA". It matches the Rfam family "Bacterial small subunit ribosomal RNA", at positions 509 to 809 of the family's 1533-position model. The record is from RNAcentral.
CAGCCGCCGCGGGAAUACGAAGGGUGCAAGCGUUACUCGGAAUUACUGGGCGUAAAGCGUGCGUAGGUGGUGGUUUAAGUCCGUUGUGAAAGCCCUGGGCUCAACCUGGGAAUUGCAGUGGAUACUGGGUCACUAGAGUGUGGUAGAGGAUAGUGGAAUUUCCGGUGUAGCAGUGAAAUGCGUAGAGAUCGGAAGGAACAUCUGUGGCGAUGGCGACUAUCUGGGCCAACACUGACACUGAGGCACGAAAGCGUGGGGAGCAAACAGGAUUAGAUACCCGGGUAGUCCCUGGUCUCUUAUA